UGAGGGUUAGCCAAGAGGUAAGGCAUCUGGCUUUGAACCAGACAAGCGCGUGUUCGAAUCACGUACUCUCAG
This 72-nucleotide transfer RNA is filed under the name Polytoma uvella. RNAcentral's name for it is "tRNA-Gln". It matches the Rfam family "tRNA". Rfam says of the family: Transfer RNA (tRNA) molecules are approximately 80 nucleotides in length. Their secondary structure includes four short double-helical elements and three loops (D, anti-codon, and T loops). Further hydrogen bonds mediate the characteristic L-shaped molecular structure. tRNAs have two regions of fundamental functional importance: the anti-codon, which is responsible for specific mRNA codon recognition, and the 3' end, to which the tRNAs corresponding amino acid is attached (by aminoacyl-tRNA synthetases). tRNAs cope with the degeneracy of the genetic code in two manners: having more than one tRNA (with a specific anti-codon) for a particular amino acid; and 'wobble' base-pairing, i.e. permitting non-standard base-pairing at the 3rd anti-codon position. The record is from RNAcentral. Lineage: Eukaryota; Viridiplantae; Chlorophyta; Chlorophyceae; Chlamydomonadales; Chlamydomonadaceae.